Molecule: unclassified non-coding RNA, 179 nt
Filed under: Bacillus velezensis
Lineage: Bacteria; Bacillati; Bacillota; Bacilli; Caryophanales; Bacillaceae
Description: T-box
Source: RNAcentral
UAUGUUGCAGUGACAGAAAGAAGUACUUGCGUCCAACUCAUACAAGCGACCUUAGGACAGUGUAAGCUAAGGAUGAGCGCGCAACGAAAGGCAUUCUCGAGCAACCCUUUAAAAAGAGGCUGAGUGAUUCACAUCCUCAGCAACUAGGGUGGAACCGCGGGAGAACUCUCGUCCCUAUG